UACAGAGGGUCCAAGCGUUGAUCGGAAUCACUGGGCUUAAAGGGUUCGCAGGCGGCUCGGCAAGUAUGUUGUGAAAUCCCACGGCUCAACCGUGGAAUUGCUUCGUAAACUGCCGAGCUUGAGCACGACAGGGGCCAUCAGAACUCUAGGUGGAGCGGUGAAAUGCGUAGAUAUCUAGAGGAAUGCCGAAGGUGAAGACAGAUGGCUGGGUCGUCGCUGACGCUCAGGAACGAAAGCAUGGGUAGCGAACGGG
RNAcentral lists this unclassified non-coding RNA (253 nucleotides) under uncultured Phycisphaeraceae bacterium. Its description in RNAcentral is "contains 16S-23S intergenic spacer region". It matches the Rfam family "Bacterial small subunit ribosomal RNA", at positions 524 to 776 of the family's 1533-position model. The record is from RNAcentral. Lineage: Bacteria; Pseudomonadati; Planctomycetota; Phycisphaerae; Phycisphaerales; Phycisphaeraceae.